GCCAAAAGCAGAGGGGAAGGCGGUGCCGGGGGCCGUGCCAGGCUGGGUGCGGUGGUUUCGCCCCGCGGAAGGCCCCCGCGGCGGUUCUUAGAGCAGGAACGGGAGCGCAGCGCUGCCCGCAGGUUUCUGAAGCAGAAAACGAAAUGUUCUUUCCGGCCCUGGGAGCCCUCAUCGAUAGGGAGAAGGGAACGCGUCAAGAUCCCCCCGAACCGCCGUGGGCUUUUAGGGAGGGAGUUCCGCCAACCGUCGGACCCGAGGGGACGGCCGGAGCUCCCGCUGCCCGGGCGAUAACGCCGGCCCCGACGUCGCAGCGCGGGGGGUGGCGGCGAUAACAGAGUAUUUGAAGGCGCUGGGAUAAGGAGCGGAGGGACGCGCGGGCGGCACGUCGGCGCUCGGGGCGCUGCGUUAUCGGCCCGGCCCCAAACGCUCCCCGCGCCGCUCGGGUACAUCGCGUUACAUAAACACCGCCCGGGGAGAGCGCGACGGUCCCCAAAGUGACCCCUCGCAGCCGGCCCGGCCCUCCCCGAGAUGAGGUAACGAACACGGAGGGAGAAAGAAAGAGCGUUUUACGUGGCACAGUCGUAUGGGAGUGAGCGCGGGGCGUUGAGAGACAGCGGAUCGCUGCUUCGAGUAGGUUAUUUUCCACGCGUUAUCACGCCCGUUAACAAACAUCGAAAGGUAAAAAUAACGACGGAGCGCAAGGAAAUGAAAUCAAAUGCACGUGAUUAUUUUUAGGAAGAUAAAAUAAAACGCAAAUAAAACAAAAAGCCGGGAGGAGAACAUCAGUGCCCGCACAGAGCCCGGAGGAAAGCCACAAUCCGACGGAGCAACGUUCCCACUCGCUCCCCCCAUCCCGGC
Molecule: long non-coding RNA, 858 nt
Filed under: Gallus gallus (chicken)
Lineage: Eukaryota; Metazoa; Chordata; Aves; Galliformes; Phasianidae
Source: RNAcentral